Molecule: ribosomal RNA, 2562 nt
Filed under: Triticum aestivum (bread wheat)
Lineage: Eukaryota; Viridiplantae; Streptophyta; Magnoliopsida; Poales; Poaceae
Description: partial small subunit ribosomal RNA
Source: RNAcentral
AUGGACGCGGAGCUCCUGGAGCUGCAGCGGCAGCUGGAGGCGGCGCAGAGCGCGCGGUCGAGCGUGCGGCUGUCGGAGCGCAACGUGGUGGAGCUCGUGCAGAAGCUGCAGGAGCGCGGCCUCAUCGACUUCGAGCUCCUCCACACCGUCUCCGGCAAGGAGUACAUCACAUCCGACCAUUUGAAGCAUGAGAUUAAGGUGGAGAUCAAGAAGCGAGGGCGCGCAUCACUAGUCGAUUUAUCAGAUACCCUGGGGGUGGAUCUUUACCAUAUUGAGAGGCAGGCACAAAAGGUCGUCACGGAGGAUCCGGCCCUGAUGUUGAUCAACGCGGAGAUCAUGUCACAGUCUUACUGGGACACUGUGACAGAAGAGAUAAAUGAGAAGUUGCAAGAGCGCAGCCAGAUUGCCUUGGCUGAGAUUGCUGCACAGUUACACAUUGGCUCAGAGCUGGUCCUCAAUAUUCUCGAGCCUCGGCUUGGAACUAUUGUGCAAGGAAGGCUAGAAGGUGGCCAGCUAUACACUCCAGCAUACGUCUCCCGAAUUACUGCCAUGGUCCGUGGUGCGACAAGGGGUUUAACAGUUCCGACAAACUUGCCAUCUGUCUGGAACUCCUUGCAGCAACAGCUCCAAGAAAUGCACGGUGCUAAUGGAGUUUCAGUGGAAGGUUCAUUCUUCCAGUCCAUUUUUGUUGCCUUGCUAAAAGAAGGUGCUGUACUUGGGUCUGUCCGUGCCGGAGUACAUUGGACACCAGCUGUAUUUGCUCAUGCUCAAAAGGAAAGCGUUGAUGCAUUUUUUUCACAGAACUCUUAUAUUGGGUACGAAGUACUUCAGAAACUCGUCAUUCCCCAUCCUAAACAGUACUUAGAGGCCAGAUAUCCAGAUGGCAUUGCACUGGAGGCUGUUUUUGUACAUCCUUCUGUUGUCGAUAUGCUAGAUGCUGCUGUGGGUGACGCAAUCGAGAACGGACAAUGCUUUGCGCCUUUCCUAUUGACUGUUAGUAAUCCCUUUUUCUGCCAAGCUAAGCACCUCUCAACUCUCAAGUUUUCAUUGCUACAAGAUACCCUUUAUUUUUCCAGGAUUGAUUCUCUUUCGAUCCUUCCAUCAUAUAUCAGUGGCCCUGAUGCAACCAAGAUAUUGUCUCUUUGUCCAUCUUUUCAGAAGGCAGCCAAGUCUUCAAAAGCAGUGCUAUUUGGAGGAUCAUGUGUCUUCAGCAAUGUGUUCAUUAAGGGUAUUUUUGAUCAACUUGAGAAAGAGAUCGACUCCUUUGGUAUUAAACAUAGUGCUGGUCAAGGAACGCCCGUGAAUAUGAAUUCAAGUAGCGAGCAUAGGGCAGGAUCUGUCCAGUACUCGGACACAAAAGACUUUGGUGAUAACGACGCCAGCAGUACAGGUGCUUCAUCAGACAGAGGACCAAAGAAGAAACGCGGAAAAGCUACGGGGUCUGCCAAAGGCGGAGCAGUUGAGAAGGAUGAUGAUGAAGAAAUCAUCCCUGUAAAGGGCAAGAAAGCUCAUAGGAAAAACAAGGACAUUGGUUCUUCAGGUGAUGCGAAGCGCGGUGGUAAAAAGGCACCAGAGAAACCAAAAGAGGAGAACACAAAUAUCUUCCCCGAUGAGUUGAUAGAGCAAAAGGUUUUGGCUGUUGCUCCAGAGUUAGAAGAGUUGGGAGGCUCAGACGACUUAAAUGGCCCAAUUAAAUUAUUGUCCUCUCACCUGAGGCCAAUGCUUAUUGAUGCAUGGAAGAAGAAAAGGAACACCAUGCUGUCAGAAAAUGCUGAAAGGAGGCGAAGUGUACUUGAUAAUCUGCAAAAGCAGCUAGAUGAGGCUGUCCUCGAUAUGCAACUCUAUGAAAAAGCUCUAGAUGUGUUUGAGGAUGAUCCUGCUACCUCUGGCAUAUUACACAAGCAUCUGCUAAGAACUAUGGGUACUCCAAUAGUCGACAAGAUUUUAUCUAGUCUGGAUAGGGACAACAAAUUGAAGAAUGGAAUGGAGUAUGAAGACAGUGAAGAACAGCAUGCUCAGCUGAGCACUACUGACCGCACUUUUCUGGCAAAGGAUCUUCCUGGGCAAUUGUCAUCGAAGGCUCAAGCUUUAGUUGAAGCACUGGAGGGAAAGCGGUUUGACUCAUUUAUGGACGCCUUAAGAGAUACAGCAGAGGAAAGUGGCUUGUUAUUUAAGAAGCUUGAUAAAAGACUUGAGCGAUCAAUGCUGCAUUCCUACCGCAAGGAUUUGAUAGCACAAGUUUCUUCAGAGACUGAUCCAGUUUCCUUCCUCCCAAAAGUCGUUGCUCUACUUUUUCUCCAGGCACACAACAAGGGUCUUCAGGCACCUGGAAGGGCUGUUGGUGCUGUCAUCACACUACUGAAGGACAAGCUACCAGCUUCAACCUUCAAGGUUUUAACCGAAUAUCAUGCCACUACCGUGAAAGUUCUCGCACUACAAGCUGCUGCCACGGGUGAUGAAGACGAUUGUGCAUCGGACCGGAUGCUGGAGAAGAAGGAAGACCUAGAAGAGAGGCUGAUGCCAGAACUCAAAUCCCUGGCCCUCGGCACGAGCAAAGAGUGA